Molecule: long non-coding RNA, 407 nt
Filed under: Glycine max (soybean)
Lineage: Eukaryota; Viridiplantae; Streptophyta; Magnoliopsida; Fabales; Fabaceae
Description: long non-coding RNA (GMAX_LNC002762)
Source: RNAcentral
UGCCUCACAACAACAACACUCACACUCUUGAAGUUGGAGGCUUCAACAAGGGAGGAAUCUAUUCCAACACCAACACCACUUCCUCCUUAUAUCCUAACCUUAACAACAACACUCUUGGAGGCUUCAACAAGGGAAUCUAUUCCAACACCACAUCCUCACCCUAUCUUAACCUUAACAACAACAACAACAACCACCUCAACAACAACCUUAACAGCAAUAAUCUCAAGGGCUACAAGACAUUUUUUAAGGGUGAAGAUCAGUUUCACACACCCAAAAGUGCCAAGAAAAACAGCAGCAACAACAACAACAAGAAGCAUGGGGACAACACUAACAAUAAUGAAGCCACCAAGACUGCUGCAGAGAAGAAAUUCAAAACACUGCCACCAUCAGAGUCUCUGCCUAAGAAU